GCCUCCGUUGUCUAGUGGCCUAGGACGCCGCCCUCUCAAGGCGAAAACACGGGUUCGAAUCCCGUCGGAGGUG
This is a transfer RNA of Faecalibacterium sp. CAG:74, 73 nucleotides long. It matches the Rfam family "tRNA". From Rfam's summary of the family: Transfer RNA (tRNA) molecules are approximately 80 nucleotides in length. Their secondary structure includes four short double-helical elements and three loops (D, anti-codon, and T loops). Further hydrogen bonds mediate the characteristic L-shaped molecular structure. tRNAs have two regions of fundamental functional importance: the anti-codon, which is responsible for specific mRNA codon recognition, and the 3' end, to which the tRNAs corresponding amino acid is attached (by aminoacyl-tRNA synthetases). tRNAs cope with the degeneracy of the genetic code in two manners: having more than one tRNA (with a specific anti-codon) for a particular amino acid; and 'wobble' base-pairing, i.e. permitting non-standard base-pairing at the 3rd anti-codon position. Lineage: Bacteria; Bacillati; Bacillota; Clostridia; Eubacteriales; Oscillospiraceae. The record is from Rfam.